GCUCGCGUAACUCAGUGGUAGAGUGCCACCUUGACAUGGUGGUGGUCACUGGUUCAAGUCCAGUCGUGAGCACCA
This 75-nucleotide transfer RNA is filed under the name Campylobacterota bacterium. RNAcentral's name for it is "Epsilonproteobacteria bacterium (mullusc metagenome) tRNA-Val". It matches the Rfam family "tRNA". Rfam says of the family: Transfer RNA (tRNA) molecules are approximately 80 nucleotides in length. Their secondary structure includes four short double-helical elements and three loops (D, anti-codon, and T loops). The record is from RNAcentral. Lineage: Bacteria; Pseudomonadati; Campylobacterota.